AUUUAGGGCUAGCCAUGUGUUCGGGAUGAUAGGUGCUGCACUUGUUUCAUCUGCUGAGUCAACUGGAACAUUUUUCGCUGCAGCUCGGCUUUCUGGUGCCACAGCCCCCCAGCACAUGUACUCGGCAGAAGUAUUGGGUUACUGGGCCUUGGUAUGCUGCUUGAAGGGGUUUUUGGUUCUCUUGUUGGUACUACUGCAUCCGUUGAAAAUGUUGGCCUUCUUGGGCUUACGCAUAUAGGAAGCAGAAGGGUUGUGCAGAUUUCAACUGCAUC
Hibiscus syriacus is the source of this 272-nucleotide long non-coding RNA. RefSeq lists it as uncharacterized. The transcript has 4 exons. The record is from RefSeq and is a predicted model, not a curated record. NCBI's taxonomy places the organism in Eukaryota, Viridiplantae, Streptophyta, Magnoliopsida, Malvales, Malvaceae.